This is a long non-coding RNA of Xenopus laevis (African clawed frog), 1251 nucleotides long. RefSeq lists it as uncharacterized. The transcript is spliced from 3 exons. NCBI's taxonomy places the organism in Eukaryota, Metazoa, Chordata, Amphibia, Anura, Pipidae. The record is from RefSeq and is a predicted model, not a curated record.
UGUUACGAACAAGACGCAUUGUAAGUGAAGAUGACAAAUUUGAAGAGAGAGCAGAAGAAAUGAUGACCCACUUUGAGAGUAGAGGCUAUGGGACAGAUAUGUUGGAAACAGCCAGGGAGAAAGUAAAAGAUGGACCAGAGGUUAAAACCAUGGGUGGCGGAACCUCCAAUGAUGGCCUAUAAAAGAUCAAGCAACCUGAGGGACCAUCUGGUCCAUGCGUUAAUUGAACCACAAAAGAAGCAAGAUCAUAUAAGAAAUGAGUGAUGGAUUAUCCAUUGAAUUUUUGUGUCCUCCUAUUAACCUCACCAAAGGUUUUUUUUAAAAAAAAACGAAAAAACGAGGAAAUAUGUUAAUGAGCACUGUCACUUUAAAUAUAUUGCACUGACCACGGGUCUGUUUUUAUAUUGUUUAAUAUUAGAUUGCACAAUAUGGACUGUUUUAUAAUAUUGAUUGUCACUAUAAUGAACUAAUGAAAGAUGAUUGGUUACUAUAUGUAUUUUUAUGAACAAAUCUUUUUACAUGAAUUCCCUACAUAUGAUUGGACACAUUGAGACACAUGAUUAUAAGCACAUACUAACUUUAGAGGUCAUAUGACCCAGGUCAUCGAUUAUACACAUUGGACACAUUGAGACACAUGAUUAUAAGCACACACCCACUUUAGAGGUCAUAUGACCCAGAUCAUCGAUUGGAUACAUUGAGACACAUGAUUAUAAGCACAUACCCACUUUUGAGGUCAUAUGACCAACUUUAUCGAUUUUAUUAUAUGCAAUGGUAUAAAUCAAUUAAUUCUGCACACAAGCACUUUAGAACAUAUAUUUAUAUGUUUUAUCUAUAUGAUAAAUUGGUUUUUUGUUUUGAUCUGUGAUUAAUUAGUAGUAUGGUUUAUAUCCUGUGUUGCUGGAUGACAUUUGGUUGCUAUGUGAACUAUCGUGAGUUACCCCAUGUUUUGGUUACCUAGCGACAGAGUAAACAUGAGCGCAUGCUUUCCCUGUAGUGCAGGCAAGUACAAUGAAUAUAGAGAGCCGUGUUGCUAAGCGGAUGACUCAUCCGCGGAAGUGACAUAGGCGGAAGUGACGUCACACACCAUGUGGUAAUUGAACAGGGUAUUUAUAGCUCCACACGAUAGGGCAAACGUCAGAAUCCCCUUGACAAAGGCUUACGCCGAAACGUUGGGGCCAUUCUCAUACUGGUGGUAGGUGUAUCUGCUCCUUGCUGUAUAAUUGUAAUACUUACUGUUUACUGUUAUGUAAU